UACGUAGGUGGCAAGCGUUGUCCGGAAUUACUGGGUGUAAGGGGCGUGUAGGCGGGGAUUUAAGUCAGAUGUGAAAUUCCGGAGCUCAACUCCGGCGCUGCAUCUGAAACUGAAUUUCUUGAGUGCUGGAGAGGAAAGCGGAAUUCCUAGUGUAGCGGUGAAAUGCGUAGAUAUUAGGAGGAACACCAGUUGCGAAGGCGGCUCUCUGGACUGUAACUGGCACUGAGGCACGAAAGCGUGGGGAGCAAACAGGAUUAGAUA
This 261-nucleotide ribosomal RNA is filed under the name uncultured prokaryote. RNAcentral describes it as "partial 16S ribosomal RNA". It matches the Rfam family "Bacterial small subunit ribosomal RNA", at positions 524 to 784 of the family's 1533-position model. The record is from RNAcentral.